GAAGGUCUUGGUGCACUCUGUGAUGUUGAACUUCGAGAACACUGCAAGAUGCAGGAACUAUUUGGAUGCUAAUGAAAAUAUUGGCUGCAGGUUCCUCCUUGAAUGAAAUUAAAAGCUUGGGAGGAAAUUUACAUUCAAUAGUGUACUAAGUUUGAAAAUAAUGUAUGAUCCUGAUUCUCAAAUGUACCUCAUUUGUAACCCCCUAAACCCACCGUGAUCUGAUACAUUUGGAUAUAGAUUUAAACUGCUAUAAUGGUAUAUGGACAUAUAAUGGUAGAUGGACACACUGAUCUGUUUUGUUGUCAAUGCCUACUAUGUUCAGUUGUGCUGAAGCAAAGCAAGAAUUUCAGUCCUAUUUGAAUAGUGAUGUGUUAUAUCUGGACUUUCAGAAGGCUUUCGACAAUGUCCCACAUAAGAGAUUAGUAUUCAAACUUAAAGCACACGGUAUUGGGGGUUCGGUAAUGAUGUGGAUAGAUAACUGGCUGUCAGACAGGAAGCAAAGAGUAGAAGUAAACGGGUCCUUUUCACAAUGGCAGGCAGCGACUAGUGGGGCAGCCCAAGGCCCGGUGCGGGGACCAGCAGUGACUAGUGGGGCAGCGCAAGGCUCAGUGCGUGGGCCAGCAGUGACUAGUGGGGUACCGCAAGGCUCAGUGCUGGGACCCCAGCUAUUUACGAUAUAUAUUAAUGAUUUGGACGAGGGAAUUGAAUGCAACAUCUCCAAGUUUGCGGAUGACACGCUGCUGGGGGGCAGUGUUAGCUGUGUGUCAGGAGGAUGCUAGGAGGCUGCAAGGUGAUUUGAAUAGGCUGGGUGAGUGGGAAAAUGCAUGGCAGAUGCAGUAUCAUGUGGAUAAAUGUGAGGUUAUCCACUUUGGUGGCAAAAACAGGAAAGUAGACUAUUAUCUGAAUGGUGGCCGAUUAGGAUAAGUGGAGAAGCAACGAGACCUGGGCCCGUCAUGGUACACCAGUCAUUAAAAUUUGGCAUGCAGGUGCAGCAGGCAGUGAAGAAAGCGAUAUAUAUUAAUGAUUUGGACGAGGGAAUUGAAUGCAACAUCUCCAAGUUUGCGGAUGACACGCUGCUGGGGGGCAGUGUUAGCUGUGUGUCAGGAGGAUGCUAGGAGGCUGCAAGGUGAUUUGAAUAGGCUGGGUGAGUGGGCAAAUGCAUGGCAGAUGCAGUAUCAUGUGGAUAAAUGUGAGGUUAUCCACUUUGGUGGCAAAAACAGGAAAGUAGACUAUUAUCUGAAUGGUGGCCGAUUAGGAUAAGUGGAGAAGCAACGAGACCUGGGCGUCAUGGUACACCAGUCAUUAAAAUUUGGCAUGCAGGUGCAGCAGGCAGUGAAGAAAGCGUAUGGUAUGUUAGCAUUCAUAGCAAACGGAUUUGAGUAUAGGAGCAGGGAGGUUCUACUGCAGUUGUACAGGGUCUUGGUGAAACCACACCUGGAGUAUUGCGUACAGUUUUCGUCUGCUAAUCUGAGGAAAGACAUUGUUGCCAUACAGAGAAGGUUCACCAGACUGAUUCCUGAGAUGGCAGGACUUUCAUGUGAAGAAAGACUGGAUAGAUUCGGUUUGUACUCGCUAGAAUUUUGAAGGUUGAGGGGGGAUCUUAUAGAAACUUCCAAAUUCUUAAGGGGUUGGACAGGCUGGAUGCAGGAAGAUUGUUCCCGGUGUUGGGGAAGUCCAGAACAAGGGGUCACAGUUUAAGUAUAAGGAGGAAGUAUUUUAGGACCGAGAUGAGGAAAACAUUUUUCACACACAGAGAGUGGUCAAUCUCUGGAAUUCUCUGCCACAGAAGGUAGUUGAGACCACAGUUCAAUGGCUAUAUUUAAGAGGGAGUUGAAUGUGGCCCUUGUGGCUAAAGGGAUCAGGGGGUAUGGAGAGAAGGCAGGUACAGGAUACUGAUUUGGAUGAUCAGCCAUGCUCAUAUUGAAUGGCGGUGCAGGUUCGAAGGGCCGAAUGGCCUCUACACCCGAACCUUUAGUCUAUGUUUCUAUGUUUCUAUCAGGGACACAUGGUAAUAAACUCACUUGUACUUGAACUUGAGCUAAAGCUCUAACAAAGCUGCAAGGCGCGAAUAUUGACAAUGUUCCCUUCGUUACAGAACAGCAGAUUCCCUCGUUUGCCAUUAUCUUAGACAUUUGCCACCCACUAAUAGCAUUUAAUAUAAUGAGGAUCCAAGUCUAAACUUAUCCAAUGUAUUUGUGACCUCAGGAAAUUCCCGAUUUGUUUUGUCCAAAUUUUACAAGAUGAUUUUUAAUCUGACGUAAACAUUAUCAACACAAAUGGUGUGUGAAUCCUGAGCUGGGUAGAAAGUGGAAGGGUGUUUGCCCUUCCAAAGAAACUGUGUGAGACUGUGAAUCUCAGUGUGUCGCCGUGCUUGGAGCUAUGUCACCCAGUCUCUGUACUCGUUCACCAUCAGUCUAUUCUCACAAGGUAGGUGACCUCACUGCAGUCUCAUUUCAUGUCAAAGAGAGGUUUAACAUGUAUCCACAAACUGAACAAUGUUGGAUGUCCUGUAAACUGUGAUAUAUCACUCACUCAAUCAGCUUGUUCCACUUUACAUUUGACAUGGGCAUACAAACUUUAUUUAUUUCGUUUUGUCUCCUUUAUUUCCCACAGCUAAAUGACCAUCACAUGCCAUUUUCUUACUGGUGUCAAUAGACAACAGGUGCAGGAGUAGAGACCAUUCGGCCCUUCCAGCCAGCACCGCCAUUCAAUGUGAUCAUGGCUGAACAUCCCCAAUCAGUACCCCGUUCCUGCCUUCUCCCCGUAUCCCCUGACUCCGCUAUCUUUAAGAGCCCUAUCUAUCUCUUUCUUGAAAGCAUCCAGAGAACCGGCCUCCACAGCCCUCUGAGGCAGAUAAUUCCACAGACUCCCAACUCUCUGUCAGAAAAAGUAUUUUCUCAUCUCCGUUUCCUAGUCAAUCUAAAUUGAAUACUUUUGUUCCCGUUUCGCCGGCAACGUCCUGGGACCGUUUGAGAAUAUUGAAUGUCCCUUACCAUUGUGUUGUCUUCUCUGUUCAUUUACUCACUAGCGGGGUCUGAUUUAGUUGAGAACAUUUUACCGAGUGGUAGAAGGUAAUUGAGUCAAACAUUAAAAAGGCGGAGUACAGAGGCAUGAUUUGGGACAAGGCGAACCGAUAGCGGUUGAAUAUGGUGGUGAAAUCCCAGAUUACUGAAGUGACAAUAUUCCAGCAGCAGUAUCCACCAAGCUAAUGUAUUUUCCCCGUGUAAUUGUGUGCGGCCAACUCUAAAAUGCCCCAGGGUCAGGAGUUUCAAACUGGCUGUACUCAAUACAAAAUUUGCCAACUACCAAUUUACUGAUCCUUAGUCUAAAACUGCACCUUGUUUCCAAACAGAGAAUGUACAAAAUGAGGCCGAGGUUUCUCUGCAACAGUUUGCCAGCUGGUUUGAGGUUGGGUUUCUUUGUUUUCCUGCUUGGACCAGUUUCCACGCAGAAAAACAUAAAUCGAAUGAAUUUAUUGGAUAAUGGAGAUGACAUUGUGUUAAACGGACCGGACAAUGCAGAGAAAGACACUGUUGUUGGCUGGGAAUGGAAACCACACUCAGGGAAGGAAAUCAGAAUAUUGAAUUUUAGAAGAACGGAGGGCUAUUGGAUCAAAGAGAAUGCCUCUGGCAACUUGAACCCGGGGAUGAAUGUGGGUACAUAUACCCUUGAUCUAACAAUCGAUAAACCCACAUUUAAAUUGGCGGGAAUUUUCACUUUAACCCAAACAAAACCGAGAAAACAAAUCCUGAAACAAUAUGAACUAUUUGUGAUGAAAGGUGAGUGGGUGCGAUAAGGAUCAAUAAUGUUGAUCUACCUAGGCACCAAAUCCAGUCACGCCUCAAGACCCAUCUCUUCACCUCUGCCUAUCCUUAGCCCCACGUGCCGCCCCUUUUCAUCUGUGCAUUAAUUGCCUCAUACUGUGUUUUGCAUUGAAUUCUGUAUUUACUUUGUGUACUAGUCAUGUCGCUACUAUUUAUUUCAUUCCCCUUACGUGUUUUUCUGCUAAUUUUUUGUAAGGUGUCCUUGAGACUCUUGAAAGGCACCCAUAAAUAAAAUGUAUUAUUAUUAUUAUUAAUCUCAAAUCCUGAAACAAUAUGAAAUAUUUGGGAUGAAAGUUGAGGCAAGUCCACAGAACCCUCUGCUGGGCAGUGACGUUACACUCAGCUGCACCAUCUCCAGACUUUCAGAUAAAGGCAGUCUUCACUGGAGACCCAUGGACUCAUCCCAGCAGAACAGGGGCAACACUGAUCAGAUCCGCCUGGAUAACACGGUCUAUCUGAUGGUUCGACACGUUGCAGUGGAGGAUGGGACGCUGUAUGUGUGUGAAGUGCGGGAAAACGGAAACAUUGUUCACACAAGUAACGGAGAAUUUACUGUAGACAAGUGUAAGUGUGCACACCUCCCAUUGGAUAUCAAGUAGACACUUGUAUCACGGUGCUUCUUGUAAUAUUAUGUGUGCGCCCCGUGAAGAAAUGUGGCAGUGACCAACUGCUCUCCAGUAUAAAAUGUUGCAAUGAUCAGGGAGAAUUUUCCAGAAAGUCUCUGUGUGGAGCAGCUGCCCGAUUGUCUCUGUGUGACAGACACACACACAGCACAGGAGGGAGAUGUCUUUCUGUAACCAUUGUUCAGUAAAGUAUUUUGUCAGUUUAUCUUGUCAUCAAUGCUCCAGUAUCUGAGACUGAGAUACUGAUACAGGACUCAUCUUGCCAUCAAUGCUCCAGUAUCUGAGACUGAGAUACUGAUACAGGACUCAUCUUGGCAUCAAUGCUCCAGUAUCUGAGACUGAGAUACUGAUACAGGACUCAUCUUGCCAUCAAUGCUCCAGUAUCUGAGACUGAGAUACUGAUACAGGACUCAUCUUGUCAUAAAUGCUCCAGUAUCUGACACUGAGAUAAUGAUACAGGACUCACGUCAAAGUGUCAGAUAGAAAGUGUAGUCACCAAAACUUGCUGCUCACUCACACACUGGGGGUCCCGACCCACACAUAAACACUGAACAACAAUCCAUCCCCUCUCCCCACACUGACCCUUCUCUCCGAGUCUGGUGUUGCUUGAAGUGAUUCCAGCUGCUGCAGACUCGGGCUUGGGAUCAGCAUUCAGCUGGGAGCAGGACCCGGGAACAGGGAAGGACAGGGAAUCAAUGGGUGUGAAUGGGAGAGGGAUGGUGGGAAUAAUGGGAAUGAGCCGACCCACUUGAAGUGCCAACGUGUCCGGGUCAGUCCCCGUGCAGGCAUCCUCUGGGCUGCUUCUGUCCACAGCCUGAACCUGAACCCGAACCUGAACCUGAACCCGAACCUGAACCUGAACCUGAACCUGAACCUGAACCUGAACCUGAACCUGAACCUGAACC
Molecule: long non-coding RNA, 5352 nt
Organism: Leucoraja erinaceus (little skate)
Lineage: Eukaryota; Metazoa; Chordata; Chondrichthyes; Rajiformes; Rajidae
Exons: 3
Source: RefSeq, a predicted model, not a curated record